UACGAAGGGGGCUAGCGUUGUUCGGAUUUACUGGGCGUAAAGCGCGCGUAGGCGGACAUUUAAGUCAGGGGUGAAAUCCCAGGGCUCAACCCUGGAACUGCCUUUGAUACUGGAUGUCUGGAGUUCGGGAGAGGUGAGUGGAAUUCCGAGUGUAGAGGUGAAAUUCGUAGAUAUUAGGAAGAACACCAGUGGCGAAGGCGGCUCACUGGCCCGGUACUGACGCUCAUGUGCGAAAGCGUGGGGAGCAAACAGG
RNAcentral lists this ribosomal RNA (253 nucleotides) under uncultured bacterium. RNAcentral's name for it is "partial 16S ribosomal RNA". It matches the Rfam family "Bacterial small subunit ribosomal RNA", at positions 524 to 776 of the family's 1533-position model. The record is from RNAcentral.